RNAcentral lists this long non-coding RNA (1970 nucleotides) under Mytilus galloprovincialis (Mediterranean mussel). Lineage: Eukaryota; Metazoa; Mollusca; Bivalvia; Mytilida; Mytilidae. The record is from RNAcentral.
UCAUAUAAAUUUGACUUUUGAAUAAUUAUGCCAAGUCUGAUAAAUCAAAUGAGUACUCUAUUGCUUUUAGUACAUGAUAAGUUAUAUAUUAAGGCAUUUUAAAAGUAUUUGAAAACUAAAGCCACUGUGACCUGGAGAAAUUACCUGCAUAUCAUGGUAGGGUAGCAUGUCUUCAUGCAAACUUUGUGAGCUAAGCAUAUUACAAAUCAAACUUAUUUUACUGUCUACUCCAAGGCCGUCUCACCACAUAUCAUUCAAAUGUUAUCUACAUGAUUUGAUGUUGAAUAUCAGGCAAAAAGAGUGCUUUAGACAUUUGUAAAGAUAUUUGAAAUUUUACCAACUCUUUGGGUAUUUUAUACCACUAUCUUUGUUUUGUGAUUUCGCUAUAUUUUAUUGAUAUCACUCAUAUUUGAACUCAUGUUCUCAAUUUUGUGUGUGGCUAUAAAUUGAGAAUGUUUUCUGAUGAGAUGUGUCAUCAUGGAAUAAAAUGUGUAUUUAAGAAGUUGUGUCUGUUUUCAAAUACAGUUGUAAAAAUGUUAGGGAGAUGAUGUACAUGUUUUUUUCAUAUAUACAUCCCUUCUUUUUUGUUUGUUUAAAAUUUGUCUCCAUUUACAGGAAUGCCAUCUCAGAUCUACUGUAUUGUAGAAGUUUUAUAUGUCACUGUUUAUUUGAUUAAAUUUUAUGCAGGUUAAAAAGAAAAAUCCAUAUUAGUUGUUUGUAAAUAAAUUGUAUACAUGGAAACCCUUUGGUAAAAGCUUUAGUUUGUUAUCUGAUUUAUUUUAAAUGAAUGCAUACAUCAGAGUUGUUAAGAAAUCCAGAAUAAGAUAAACCGUCCAUGACAAGAAGAGGUGUUUGAUGUUAUCAUAAAUUUUUCCUUUAUGUUUUUAAGGCCAUUAGAUAUGGUUUUGUUUCUUAUGUCUUACCCUCUAAAGGAUACUUCUCCAAUAUUUUUUAUUUUUAAGAUUUAAUUGUUUUUUAAUGUUAUCUAUUGAUGAACAUUGUGUAUGAAUAAAUAAAAGUUAGCAAAUAAUAGAUUGAAUCCUGUAUCAUAUAAACACUUCAUCCCUUAACAUUCAUAUAAGAAGAAAAACUGAACCAAUAUUCCACCCACUUGCCCACUAGCUCAUAAUAGUAAUAUUUGUCUUCUGAAAUCAAAAUAUGAACAGAUGAAGUGGCCUGAAAUAUUUAUUCAUCAUUAUAAGUUUGAUGAUGGUGUACGGUUAAUAUUAAAGCAUGUGUGAUAAUUUUAAAUUAAAACAAUUUUGUACAAAAUCAAAUGUUAAACAGUAGAUUUUAGUGAUUCUUGGAUUUCAUGUUUUUACAUUUUACACCGGUGAGAUUGUAAUAUUUAUAUUGACAUAACAGUUAUAAUCAAGGUGCUUCGGAGCACUGAAGGGUAAAGAUUGCUCUCAUUGUCUAAUUUAAAUCAUUGAAUUAUAUUUAGCCGGGCAAAUUAUAAAAUUUAGUUGGAGUUCUCUUUCUUUGCUGAUGAUUGUAUAUUUGUUUGAUGGAUAUAUUUUUGUAACAGAUUCAUUACUUAUAAAUUUUUAAUAAACAAAAAGUAUGGCAAUUCAAAUACACAUCAAAAGAAACUUAAAUAUAUCUGCCUUUUUAACUUUUUGGAUUGAGCGUCACUGAUGUGUCAUUUGCAGAAGAAACCUGCGUCUGGAGUAAAUGCAAAAUUUAAUCCUGGUAUCAAUGAGGAGUUUAUUUUCAAUUAACAAGUUGCAAGAUAAUUGGAUGUUAUAAAAUUGUGAGUAUUUUUGUUGUUAAUGCAUGCAUUUGAAUCUGAAUAUCCAACAUAUAGGAUAAUAUACUUGGUAUCAUACAUUUUGAUGGAUGGUAGCUCAAGUGCACUAAUACUUGUUUCUGUUUUAUUAUAUGAGUAACCUGUAAAAUAAUAAUGUAUACCAGUAUUAUUGAAUAUGUGAUUGUCUUUAUGUUUAUAUUUUAUGACAUUAAAAAGUAAA